GUCUGCAACUCGACUGCGUGAAGCUGGAAUCGCUAGUAAUCGCGGAUCAGCAUGCCGCGGUGAAUACGUUCCCGGGCCUUGUACACACCGCCCGUCACACCACGAGAGUUUGUAACACCCGAAGUCGGUGAGGUAACCUUUUAGGAGCCAGCCGCCGAAGGUGGGACAGAUGAUUGGGGUGAAGUCGUAACAAGGUAGCCGUAUCGGAAGGUGCGGCUGGAUCACCUCCUUUCUAAGGA
This 239-nucleotide ribosomal RNA is filed under the name Bacillus subtilis. RNAcentral's name for it is "partial 16S ribosomal RNA". It matches the Rfam family "Bacterial small subunit ribosomal RNA", at positions 1303 to 1533 of the family's 1533-position model. The record is from RNAcentral. Lineage: Bacteria; Bacillati; Bacillota; Bacilli; Caryophanales; Bacillaceae.